GACGAACGCUGGCGGCGCGCUUAACACAUGCAAGUCGUGCGGUACCGAUGGCAAGUCUUCAUGACGAGCCUUCGGUAUAGCGGCGGACGGGUGAGUAACACGUGAGUAGCUGUCCUAGGGAGGGGGAUAACGCCUGGAAACGGGUGCUAAAAACCCCAUAAGCCUCGCAAGAGGUGAAAGUGUACUUGUUACAGCCUUAGGGUGUGCUCGCGGCCUAUCAGCUAGUUGGUGAGGUAAGGGCUCACCAAGGCUAAGACGGGUAGCCGGCCUGAGAGGGUGUACGGCCACACUGGAAUUGAGAUACGGUCCAGACUCCUACGGGAGGCAGCAGUCGAGAAUAGUCUACAAUGGCCGGAAAGGCUGAUAGUGCGACGCGCGUGAACGAGGGAGCCCUUCGGGUGUAAAGUUCUUUUCUAUACGAGCAGUGCUAUAUAUAUGGAUAGUAUAUAUAGAGGGAUAGUAGUAUAGGAAUAAGCAAGGCUAACUCCGUGCCAGCAGCCG
RNAcentral lists this ribosomal RNA (501 nucleotides) under uncultured bacterium. Its description in RNAcentral is "bacterial SSU rRNA". It matches the Rfam family "Bacterial small subunit ribosomal RNA", at positions 28 to 517 of the family's 1533-position model. The record is from RNAcentral.